GGAAACGGAGAGUAAUACCGCAUACGCCCUUCGGGGGAAAGAUUUAUCGGAGAAGGAUCAGCCCGCGUCUGAUUAGGUAAUUGGUGGGGUAACGGCCUACCAAGCCUACGAUCAGUAGCUGGUUUGAGAGGAUGAUCAGCCACACUGGAACUGUGACACGGUCCAGACUCCUACGGGAGGCAGCAGUAGGGAAUCUUAGACAAUGGGCGAAAGCCUGAUCUAGCCAUGCCGCGUGUGUGACGAAGGCCCUAGGGUCGUAAAGCACUUUCGCCAGGGAUGAUAACGACAGUACCUGGUAAAGAAACCCCGGCUAACUCCGUGCCAGCAGCCGCGGUAAUACGGAGGGGGUUAGCGUUGUUCGGAAUUACUGGGCGUAAAGCGCGCGUAGGCGGACCAUUAAGUUAGAGGUGAAAUCCCAGGGCUCAACCCUGGAACUGCCUUUAAUACUGGUGGUCUUGAGUUCGAGAGAGGUGAGUGGAAUUCCGAGUGUAGAGGUGAAAUUCGUAGAUAUUCGGAGGAACACCAGUGGCGAAGGCGGCUCACUGGCUCGAUACUGACGCUGAGGUGCGAAAGUGUGGGGAGCAAACAGGAUUAGAUACCCUGGUAGUCCACACCGUAAACGAUGAAUGCCAGUCGUCGGCAAGCAUGCUUGUCGGUGACACACCUAACGGAUUAAGCAUUCCGCCUGGGGAGUACGGUCGCAAGAUUAAAACUCAAAGGAAUUGACGGGGGCCCGCACAAGCGGUGGAGCAUGUGGUUUAAUUCGAAGCAACGCGCAGAACCUUACCAACCCUUGACAUCCUCGUCGCGGUUACCAGAGAUGGUUUCCUUCAGUUCGGCUGGACGAG
Molecule: ribosomal RNA, 848 nt
Filed under: uncultured bacterium
Lineage: Bacteria
Description: bacterial SSU rRNA
Rfam family: Bacterial small subunit ribosomal RNA
Source: RNAcentral